RNAcentral lists this ribosomal RNA (167 nucleotides) under uncultured bacterium. RNAcentral's name for it is "partial 16S ribosomal RNA". It matches the Rfam family "Bacterial small subunit ribosomal RNA", at positions 352 to 511 of the family's 1533-position model. The record is from RNAcentral.
CAGUAGGGAAUCUUCCACAAUGGACGAAAGUCUGAUGGAGCAACGCCGCGUGAGUGAAGAAGGGUUUCGGCUCGUAAAACUCUGUUGUUAAAGAAGAACAUAUCUGAGAGUAACUGUUCAGGUAUUGACGGUAUUUAAUCAGAGAGCCACGGCUAACUACGUGCCNG